GUGCCAGCAGCCGCGGUAAUACCGGCAGCCCGAGUGAUGACCGAUCUUAUUGGGCCUAAAGCGUCCGUAGCUGGCUACGCAAGUCCGUCGGGAAAUCCACUCGCCCAAUGAGUGGGCGUCCGACAGAAACUGCAUAGCUUGGGACCGGAAGGCUCGAAGGGUACGUGCGGGGUAGGAGUGAAAUCCCAUAAUCCCGCACGGACCACCGAUGGCGAAAGCAUUUCGAGAAAACGGAUCCGACAGUGAGGGACGAAAGCCAGGGUCUCCAAUCGGAUUAGAAACCCCGGUAGUUC
RNAcentral lists this ribosomal RNA (293 nucleotides) under uncultured bacterium. Its description in RNAcentral is "partial 16S ribosomal RNA". It matches the Rfam family "Archaeal small subunit ribosomal RNA", at positions 455 to 747 of the family's 1478-position model. The record is from RNAcentral.